AAGGGCUUUAAAGAACAGAAGACAAUUUUAAUUAUUCCUUAUUUAUAAUGAAACAUUUGAGCUACAACGAAAGUUGAAUAGCGGGAAUUUUGCUACUAUGACUAGGGUAAUAAUAUAGCAAGAUCAUCGUGCUUAUUCCAGAUGCAGAAGGAGAUUCUGACAUGACUGAGCUGGAAAGGCGAUUAUGGGCACAAAUUAUGGACUGCCGUUAUAGAAAAUAAGCAGCCUUGUCGACACGCAUGGCGCACAGACUUGUCGAAUUGAUCUUCAUCCUGUCUUUCUUCCCUUCCGAUUUUUUUUCAUUUAAUCAGCAAGUUUCAACAUUAAUUUCAAACAUUUGCCAUCUACAUCCUUUCUAGAGCCAAAUCUUCUUACAUAUUCCACAACCAACUGCGCUGGGUUCAGAAAAUUCGUCAGUAGCGGGUGUUGCUCUUUCAACCAAUCUUACUAUCGAUUCGAUUUUAUUGGUCCAAUUUUGUUUCAAUCCUACAAAAAAACAAAGUCUCUGUAAUACUCAUCAUAAGUCAUACUUACCAAUUAGAGACUAUGAAAUCUCCUAAAAACGACAACGCUUUGCAGAAUUUCUAUUUAAUGCUUUCAUGAACAUUAGCACUACCUGAAUCUGCCUUCUUAUGGUAGUUCAUGGUAAGGCGACCUUUCAGUGAUCUCCACCGCACUUUGCAC
This is a long non-coding RNA of Glossina fuscipes, 684 nucleotides long. RefSeq lists it as uncharacterized. The record is from RefSeq and is a predicted model, not a curated record. NCBI's taxonomy places the organism in Eukaryota, Metazoa, Arthropoda, Insecta, Diptera, Glossinidae. The transcript has 2 exons.